This 2560-nucleotide ribosomal RNA is filed under the name Lactobacillus delbrueckii subsp. bulgaricus ATCC BAA-365. Its description in RNAcentral is "bacterial LSU rRNA". It matches the Rfam family "Bacterial large subunit ribosomal RNA", at positions 354 to 2925 of the family's 2925-position model. The record is from RNAcentral. Lineage: Bacteria; Bacillati; Bacillota; Bacilli; Lactobacillales; Lactobacillaceae.
GCCAGAGAGGGUGAGAGCCCCGUAAGCGAAAUCCAAAGGAGGCCUAUCAGUAUCCUGAGUAGGGCGGGACACGUGAAAUCCCGUUUGAAUCCGCGAGGACCAUCUCGCAAGGCUAAAUACUAACCAGUGACCGAUAGUGAACCAGUACCGUGAGGGAAAGGUGAAAAGAACCCCGGGAGGGGAGUGAAAGAGAACCUGAAACCGUGUGCCUACAAGUAGUCAGAGCCCGUUAACGGGUAAUGGCGUGCCUUUUGUAGAAUGAACCGGCGAGUUGCGUUAGUCAGCAAGGUUAAGUCAGAAAAGACGGAGCCGUAGCGAAAGCGAGUCUGAAGAGGGCGAGCAGUUGGCUGACGCAGACCCGAAACCAAGUGACCUACCCAUGACCAGGUUGAAGGCGCGGUAAAACGCGCUGGAGGACCGAACCCACGUAAGUUGAAAAUUGCGGGGAUGAGUUGUGGGUAGCGGUGAAAUUCCAAACGAACUUGGAGAUAGCUGGUUCUCUCCGAAAUAGCUUUAGGGCUAGCCUCGCAAAGAGGAUGCUGGAGGUAGAGCUCUGUUUGGACUAGGGGCCCGUCAAGGGUUACUGAAUUCAGAUAAACUGCGAAUUCCAGACAUUUAUGUGCGGGAGUCAGACUGCGAGUGAUAAGAUCCGUAGUCGAAAGGGAAACAGCCCAGAUCACCAGUUAAGGUCCCAAAAUUCAUGCUAAGUGGAAAAGGAUGUGGAGUUGCGCAGACAACUAGGACGUUGGCUCAGAAGCAGCCAUCAUUCAAAGAGUGCGUAAUAGCUCACUAGUCGAGUGACGCCGCGCCGAAAAUUUACCGGGGCUAAGCAUGAUACCGAAACUGUGGAUGUGCGUUUAUGCACGUGGUAGGAGAGCGUUCUAGCGGCGGUGAAGCAUGACCGAGAGGACAUGUGGAGCUUCUAGAAGUGAGAAUGCCGGUAUGAGUAACGAAAGACAGGUGAGAAUCCUGUCCGCCGCAAGACUAAGGUUUCCUGGGGCAGGCUCGUCCGCCCAGGGUAAGUCGGGACCUAAGGCGAGGCCGAGAGGCGUAGUCGAUGGACAACAGGUUGAAAUUCCUGUACUGCACCGAAUCGUUAUGAGCGAUGGAGGGACGCAGGAGGCUAGCAGCGCGUGGUGCUGGAUACCACGUUCAAGCGUCAAGUCUGAGAGCGAGUCAAAUGCUUGCUCUCAUAAGGACAAGGCGUGAUGAGGAGCGAAAUUAAAGUAGCGAAGGCUGCGACGUCACACUGCCGAGAAAAGCUUCUAGCCAGAGACGGUGCACCCGUACCGCAAACCGACACAGGUAGUCGAGGAGAGUAUCCUCAGGUGAGCGAGAGAACUCUCGUUAAGGAACUCGGCAAAAUGGCCCCGUAACUUCGGGAGAAGGGGCGCUGGUCGCAAGAUCAGCCGCAGUGAAAAGGCCCAAGCAACUGUUUAUCAAAAACACAGGCAUCUGCAAAAUCGUAAGAUGAAGUAUAGGUGCUGACACCUGCCCGGUGCUGGAAGGUUAAGAGGAGAGCUUAGCGCAAGCGAAGGUUUGAAUUGAAGCCCCAGUAAACGGCGGCCGUAACUAUAACGGUCCUAAGGUAGCGAAAUUCCUUGUCGGGUAAGUUCCGACCUGCACGAAAGGUGUAAUGAUUUGGGCACUGUCUCAACGAGAGACUCGGUGAAAUUAUAAUACCCGUGAAGAUGCGGGUUACCCGCGACAGGACGGAAAGACCCCAUGGAGCUUUACUGCAGUUUAAUAUUGGGUAUCUGUCAAGCAUGUACAGGAUAGGUAGGAGCCGGAGAAGAUAGGACGCCAGUCUUAUCUGAGGCGCUGUUGGGAUACUACCCUUGCUUGACGGAUGCUCUAACUUAGGCCUGUGAUCCAGGCCGAGGACAGUGUUUGACGGGCAGUUUGACUGGGGCGGUCGCCUCCUAAAGUGUAACGGAGGCGCCCAAAGGUUCCCUCAGAAUGGUUGGAAAUCAUUCGCAGAGUGUAAAGGUAAAAGGGAGCUUGACUGCGAGAGAGACAACUCGAGCAGGUACGAAAGUAGGGCUUAGUGAUCUGGUGGUACCGUAUGGAAGGGCCAUCACUCAACGGAUAAAAGCUACCCUGGGGAUAACAGGCUUAUCUCCCCCAAGAGUUCACAUCGACGGGGAGGUUUGGCACCUCGAUGUCGGCUCGUCGCAUCCUGGGGCUGAAGUCGGUCCCAAGGGUUGGGCUGUUCGCCCAUUAAAGCGGCACGCGAGCUGGGUUCAGAACGUCGUGAGACAGUUCGGUCCCUAUCCGUCGUGGGCGCAGGAAAUUUGAGAGGAGCUGUCCUUAGUACGAGAGGACCGGGAUGGACGCACCGCUGGUGUACCAGUUGUCUUGCCAAAGGCAUCGCUGGGUAGCUAUGUGCGGACGGGAUAAGCGCUGAAAGCAUCUAAGUGCGAAGCCCCCCUCAAGAUGAGAUUUCCCAUUUCUUCAAGAAAGUAAGACACCUCAGAGACGAUGAGGUAGAUAGGCCGGGAGUGGAAGAGCCGUGAGGCUUGGAGCGGACCGGUACUAAUCAGUCGAGGACUUGACCAAA